CGCUGGUGAAGGUUGUUGGUGGUAUUCCUUUGUAUUGUGUGGUGUGAAAAUUCGCAUGAAAGUGGCAAAUUUCUUCUAACGUGCUUUGAAAGUGCGUGCUGUGUCGGAGUGUAGAUUCAAAGCAUCUCCCCGUCGUGUCCCCCGGAGGGGAAUUUGCCCCUGGAGGAGGUGGGACACAGCAUUUGAGUUUUAAUUGAUACCAAAAAGAGGAAAAACUGCUGGAUGGAUGAAAUUAUCGCAACUAUCUGCGCAGUAGCACUCAGGUGGUGUCUUCGGUUACUUACUAAAACCAUGAAGUCGUCCGUCAUCGUUAAAGUCAUCGAUUGGGUAUGAUUAAUGUAAAGCAGAUCAUCAUUAGAGGACUUGGAGACAGAGAAAGUGGAAGGCAUUUGUGGCACAAUUGUGCGCAGCCAGUUACGGAUUUGCUACAUCGACGAAAAAAAGACAAAUGCCACCACGGAACAGUAAUUAAGUGCAAGUAGCGCGCCUCUCAAGGAGCAAAAGAGCUCCCCCUCCAAACAAUAGCAAUAUUUAUCGACCAUUGAUGGCGACGGCAUUGGUUAGCAAAAAAAACUGGACCAUCAAAUAAAACGACAAAAAAAAAAACGGAAAGCUGCUCCCCCUUAGCCCAAACCGAAAGUUAAAGAAAACAAUUGAAGAAAAACGGGCAAGGGUGCGAACAUCAUGUGUGUCCCCUUUUCGUGUUAUGUUCCUAAAGAACUGAAGUGGAACUUUUGAGCCUCCGUUUUUAGUUCCCACACAUACACACACAUACACGGUGUUUUGGUUUCGCUGUCACUGCCAAGAGAGAAAACUAUCGACGGAGUAAAAUGUUCUGCAAAAAAAACCCACAUUCGUAGUAAGAGCUUGUGGUGCCGCACCCUGUCAAGGAAAUCAAUAUUAAAAUCAAUAUACGUUUAUAACGAGUCAGUGAUCGUCUCAAAAUCAGGAGAAAGGGUAGGGUGGAGGGGGGGGGGGUACCCCCCAAGUCUUCCCACAACAGUCAAAUUGAGGAAGUCCUGGUGGACGGUGCUCUGAGGUUCCGUCUGUCUGAAAACAUUGGUCGAGCGUGAACAAAAGCGGGAAGCAGGCACUCUUCUGCCCUUUUUUUAAUUACGAGCCUACGGGCGGGACGGCUGCGUGUCUUGGAAGACGUUUUUUCUCGUUGUACUUUUUUGAUAGCGCUGUUAGUGUUUUGUUCCCACCAAAUCUCCCCAUAAGAGCCUGGGCAUUGCUGAUCAGUGAGGAAGAAAAGCAAAGUUCGUCCCGUGGACCGACGGUCCCGUAAACCACUCCCCUUCGGUUGCGCUUGUUGUGCGCUCUUCGGCUGUGCGGUGCCAUAUGCUGUCCCUGUUUAUUUGCCGGGAAGUGGAAGCCAGAGCCGCAGCAACACAAUCUUUCUGGUGUGUACCCCGUCGGUCCGGGGUCCGGCAGCAACGCUGCAACUCGGUCCGUUUGUCGCUUGGACGCAACAAGUUACCAGCCGGCACAGCAUCUGCAACAGCGCCGAAUGUCGCACGCAGGCGGAGAACUGCGCAUGAUACACGUAUAAAAGCGGCUCGCCCGAGUGUGUCGGAACUUUAGUUUCUUCGGAACCGUCUUCAUCUAGACUUCUAGAGCUUGAGCUCUCGUGCACGAUUUCGAAGCACUUUUUUGAGUUGUUGUAAAAAGAAUCAGCUGUAAAACAUCUCGUGUGUGUGUGCGUGCGUGCAGUGUGUGCUAGUGAAGCUGACAGCCGUUGAACGACCCAGCUCGUCGGGUGCAAAGGACACGCAAAACAUUUUAGCGGGUGUCACGCAUUUGUUUGCGAGUCGAGUCAUUCGCUGUAGGUCAGGCUAAGCGAGCAUGGCGGUCAAAUACGAUGCGGAUGCGGAGAAGGAAGGCGUCGCCAGUGGGUCGAAAGCACCACCAUCCUCACCAAUACACGACGACAAUCAAACGGAUCCAACCUUCCAAGCCCCACCACACAUGAUGGAGGAGCAGUACGUUUACUACCCGGAGGACGUGUUUGUGAUGAUACAGGUCGUACGCAUUAGAUGGUUGCUGCGCUUGAUUAUCUCCCAUCUGGUAUCUCAAGUGCUGAUAUCUUACAUGGAUUAUUCACCCCAGGGACAGUAUAUGUGCCAAAUCGUAAUGUUGGUGUUGCUGUACUAUUAUGGCAUUUAAAUGGUAACACCGAUGCUGAAGCGGAAGAUGAGGAGUAAAAGAAGGAGGGACCAUAUGAUGUCAUCGAUUCGCCUAGCGGCAGCCAGCAGCAGCUCAGCUUCUUUUCUGUUAGUAUGGACUCGGAUCGGAGGACACGUUUUCGAGUUCUUGGGCGAUACCAAACCCCACCGCAGUCAUCCUGUUGUUAGCCACAUCAACAAUUUCACCUAGUAGUAGUUUACUUGAGAUUCUGUAGUGGUUUUUGCUACAGUGUGUCAGCUCCUUACCAUCCUACAAGUUGCUUACGUAAGCGUUUAGGGAUGGGAAAACAAUCUUAGAUGUAACCGCUCAAAGUUUGCAGCGAUAGACCAACUGCGCGAUGGUUUAUCGCUCCACACUUUGCUUUGUUUUUAUUUUACUUCUUUUUAUUAACUUCAUAACCCCAUAAACCCAUCCCCUGAACCCAUAAACAGUUUUCUAUAGUAUUAAAAUGAAUCCACCUGUACAUAUAGGUUCUACCAGCAUCACUCUCCAUCCAAUUGCGACAUGCAAUCGAUACGGUGCCUUUUUGCCCACUGUCCAACCCCAAAACACCGGCUCAAUGCGUUUGAAUGGACUUUAAACGCAUUUGACGCCAUCUUGUAAAUAUUACGACACGAGGCAAAGAGGUAACCCCCCACUAGGUAUCUGCUUGCACUGACAAGAAGAUGAAUAAGGUAGUUUAAGCGUAAUAGUAUCUAAGUUUAGGAAAUAAGGAAUAAUAAUACCUAAGGUUUAGAAGAUAAGGGAUUUACCCUUUAGAAGGGUAAAGGAGUGUGUUGGUUGGUGUUUAGCCAGCGCUAAUAGUUCGUUUGAACUGAACUGCUCUUCAUAUAAAGUGCAGUUCAACUAUCAAACCAAGGGCCGGGGUAUCUGCAAUGUACAAACAUGGUUAAGAUGUUUGUUUGUUCCUUCGCAUUGUUGCGAAAGACAAGCAAAACUCGAACCAUUUUAGGCGAUAAGGUUUACUUUCGAAGUAAAAAUUAAGAUAAGUCUGACUUCAGAUUUUUUUAGCUGCACUUAGAUGUAAAUGCGCAGCUGUACCUGUAUGAAGGCUUCAGGGUUCGUUCUUAUUUGCUGACUGUCCAUAAUCUAAUGUACAAAAAGUUUGUACGACAUGUAAAUAUCGGACACGAAGCAAAUAAGUAACAAAAUUAGUUCUGUAAGAUUGGGAAGGGAUUUACAGCAUAAAAAUAACAAUAAUAAUAUUAAUAAUGUUAAGGAACGCAAGAUGAGAAGAUAAAAAUAAGAACUAAGUAGACAUAAGACGUAAAAGAAUGCGAAGAAAGAUUGUAUAAGGUGAGGUUGGGAGAUAUAAAUAUGAUCAUAUCUCUUAACUUUACCUUAUAGACUAUAGAUAUGCAUACAUAUAAAUGUAUAAGUAUAUAUUUCUAUAUAUACAGACAUUUCAACAUUUCUAUUAGAUUCAGGGAAAUGAUCCACUGUUAGUAAGGAAACACGCGCGCAGGAGCUCUUGUAAGUAGUGCUAGUAGGUGAAAAGAUUGAUGAGGCCGGCAUUCAGACAGAAAAGUACUAUAAAAUUGUUCCAGAUUUAGAUAAAGGACUACGAAUAUUGUCUUCUUCUUUAUUCGUCAAAGCAUUCUCAUACUCUUGCUCGUCCAACAAAAAAAAAAGAGUGAGAGAGGGAUGGUGAUCAUCCACUUGGUGCCAGUUCGGAAUGGAACUCACGGCGGCUGCUCUAAUCGAAGGUGCUCGUUCAAUCGGGCUGUGAAUAAUCCCUGUUAGUGUUGUUGUUUAUAACAUUGUUAUCAUCACACGUGUCUACAUAUACUUCCUGCAGGAGUUUUUACUCGCUUCCUAGCCACAUGCCAAUAAAUGGUGCGCACCACUUCGCUUCUAAAUGUUAAAAAGAAAACCAUUACUAUUAUUAGCAUCGGCUUUAUCAGCUGAGUGCAACUACUAACCAGCCGUGUAUUAGACUACAACAUAAAGA
This is a long non-coding RNA of Anopheles merus, 4138 nucleotides long. RefSeq lists it as uncharacterized. Lineage: Eukaryota; Metazoa; Arthropoda; Insecta; Diptera; Culicidae. The transcript is spliced from 5 exons. The record is from RefSeq and is a predicted model, not a curated record.